RNAcentral lists this ribosomal RNA (439 nucleotides) under uncultured bacterium. Its description in RNAcentral is "bacterial SSU rRNA". It matches the Rfam family "Bacterial small subunit ribosomal RNA", at positions 954 to 1392 of the family's 1533-position model. The record is from RNAcentral.
GCAAAACGCGAAGAACCUUACCAAGGCUUGACAUACACCAGAACACCCUAGAAAUAGGGGACUCUUUGGACACUGGUGAACAGGUGGUGCAUGGUUGUCGUCAGCUCGUGUCGUGAGAUGUUGGGUUAAGUCCCGCAACGAGCGCAACCCUCGUUCUAUGUUGCCAGCACGUAAUGGUGGGAACUCAUGGGAUACUGCCGGGGUCAACUCGGAGGAAGGUGGGGAUGACGUCAAAUCAUCAUGCCCCUUAUGUCUUGGGCUUCACGCAUGCUACAAUGGCCGGUACAAAGGGCUGCAAUACCGUGAGGUGGAGCGAAUCCCAAAAAGCCGGUCCCAGUUCGGAUUGAGGUCUGCAACUCGACCUCAUGAAGUCGGAGUCGCUAGUAAUCGCAGAUCAGCAACGCUGCGGUGAAUACGUUCCCGGGUCUUGUACACACCG